ACAUAGAAGUAAAAUAUACAUUUAGCUUCGACCUAAACUCUAAGAAUAACUUUCUUCAUGUU
RNAcentral lists this transfer RNA (62 nucleotides) under Nesophrosyne sp. 17 GMB-2012. RNAcentral's name for it is "tRNA-Arg". The record is from RNAcentral. Lineage: Eukaryota; Metazoa; Arthropoda; Insecta; Hemiptera; Cicadellidae.